GCAAAAAUUUCAAACUUCUUUCUAUGGACUAGAACAGUGGUCUCCAAUCCCUGGGUUGCACACUGGUUUUAUCAAUGUCCAACAUGCAUUUAUUGAGCACCUACCUAGUACUGUGAGGCAAAGGGGAUAUAGCAGGGAACCAGACAAUGCCCCUGCAUUUCUGGGGCUUCUAUCCUAGUUGAGGAGAAAACACACACUAAAUAUUUAUUUGGUUCCAUGUGAUAGGUCUGCAAAGGGGACCAAAACAUGCUCCUGUCUUAGGGCAUUUGCUUCAGCUGUUCCCACUGCCUGGAACUGUCUUGCCCAAGAUACCCACUUAGCUCACUCCCUCCACCUUCUGUCUUGUCUGGAAGGGAUCAUAACUGAGAUAGAAAAGUUGUCAUGUCAGGCUGCUUCUGGACCUGAGGUUGUGUUAAUGAAUAAAUGAUGACUUUCUGACCAGAUCUUUAUAGUUUUUUUCUAUCAUUUAAAGUAGAAGAUGGUACACAUAAAAUGAUUUGGAAUAUGGUUCAGGUGAUGGGUUCGUUAGUUGCCAUGGUGAUUACUCAGCCAUGAGUCAAUGUUCCUUCUUUAAACAGUUCCAACAUCUUAAUAAGCAUAAAAAUCAACUGCAGCCAGGUGCAGUGGCUCAUGCCUGUAAUCCCAGCACUUUGGGAGGCCAAGGUGGGAGGAUCACUUGGAGCUGGGAGUUUAAGACCAGCUUGGGCAAUAAAGGGAGACCCCGUCUCUAUAAAAAUAUUUAUUUAAAAUACUGGCAGAGCAUGGUUGUGCAUGCCUGCAGUCCCAGCUACUUGGGAGGUUGAGGUGUGAGGAUCGCUUGAGCCCAGGAGUGUGAAGUUACAGUGAGUAUGAUGAUUGCACCACUGUACUCCAACCUGGGUGACAGAGCAAGACCCUGUCUCUUAAAAAAAAAAUCAACUACAGAGUGUGUCUAAAAUAUUUAUUCCUGGGACCCUUCUUCAGGAUCUGAUUCAGUAGGGCUGGGUAUGGGCCCCGGGAAUUUGUGUUUUUAACAAACACCCUGUCUUAGUCUAUUUUACCUUCCUACAAAGGAAUACCUGAGGCUGAGUAAUUCAUAAAGAAAAAAAGCCCGGGUGCAGUGGCUCACGCCUGUAAUGCCAGCACUUUGGGAGGCCGAGGCAGGCAGAUAACUUGAGGUCAGGAGUUCGAGAGCAGCCUGGCCAACAUGGUGAAAUCCUGUUUCUAUUAAAAAUACAAAAAUGUUCUGGGCAUGGUGGUGUGCACCUGUAAUCUCAGCUACUCGGGAGGCUGGGGCAUAAGAAUUUCUUGAACCCAGGAGGCUGAGGUUGCAGUGAGCUGAGAUCAUGCAGAGACUCCGUCUCAAAAAAGAAAAAAAGAAGUUUAUUUGGCUUAUGGCUCUGCAGAUUGUAAAAAGCAUGGUACCAGCAUCUGUUUUUGGUGAGGGCUUCAGGAAGCUUCCACUCAUGGUGGAAGGGGAAGGGCAGCUGAUGUGUGCAGAUCACAUGAUGAGAGAGAAACAAGACAGAGCCGGGAAGGAGAUGCCAGGCUCUUUUUAACAAUCAGAUCCUGAGUGAAUUCAUAGAACAAGAAGUCCCUCAUUACCGUAGAGGGGGACACCAAGCUGAUCAUGAGGGAUCCGCCCCCAUGACCCAAACACAACCCACCAGGUCCCACCUCUCACACUGGGGCUCAAAUUACAACAUGAGAUUUGGAAGGGAUAAAUAUCCAAACCAUAUCACACUC
Molecule: long non-coding RNA, 1725 nt
Filed under: Homo sapiens (human)
Lineage: Eukaryota; Metazoa; Chordata; Mammalia; Primates; Hominidae
Description: non-protein coding lnc-EML5-2:1
Source: RNAcentral